RNAcentral lists this ribosomal RNA (437 nucleotides) under uncultured bacterium. RNAcentral's name for it is "bacterial SSU rRNA". It matches the Rfam family "Bacterial small subunit ribosomal RNA", at positions 958 to 1392 of the family's 1533-position model. The record is from RNAcentral.
AACGCGAAGAACCUUACCAGCCCUUGACAUCCCGGUCGCGGUUUCCAGAGAUGGAUACCUUCAGUUCGGCUGGACCGGUGACAGGUGCUGCAUGGCUGUCGUCAGCUCGUGUCGUGAGAUGUUGGGUUAAGUCCCGCAACGAGCGCAACCCUCGCCCUUAGUUGCCAGCAUUAAGUUGGGCACUCUAAGGGGACUGCCGGUGAUAAGCCGAGAGGAAGGUGGGGAUGACGUCAAGUCCUCAUGGCCCUUACGGGCUGGGCUACACACGUGCUACAAUGGUGGUGACAGUGGGCAGCGAGACCGCGAGGUCGAGCUAAUCUCCAAAAGCCAUCUCAGUUCGGAUUGCACUCUGCAACUCGAGUGCAUGAAGUUGGAAUCGCUAGUAAUCGCGGAUCAACAUGCCGUGGUGAAUACGUUCCCGGGCCUUGUACACACCG